AAUACCGGAUAGGCAAUUAUUCCUGUAAUGGUUUUUUGUUUAAAUGUUUUUUCGCCUAAGGAUGGGUCUGCGGCCGAUUAGGUAGUUGGUUAGGUAAUGGCUUACCAAGCCGUUGAUCGGUACGGGUUGUGAGAGCAACAGCCCGGAGAUGGAACCUGAGACAAGGUUCCACGCCCUACGGGGUGCAGCAGGCGCGAAACCUCCGCAAUGUGAGAAAUCGCGACGGGGGGAUCCCAAGUGCCAUUCUUAACGGGAUGGCUUUUCAUUAGUGUAAAAAGCUUUUGGAAUAAGAGCUGGGCAAGACCGGUGCCAGCCGCCGCGGUAACACCGGCAGCUCUAGUGGUAGCAAUUUUUAUUGGGCCUAAAGCGUCCGUAGCCGGUUUAAUAAGUCUCUGGUGAAAUCCUGUAGCUUAACUGUGGGAAUUGCUGGAGAUACUAUUAGACUUGAGACCGGGAGAGGUUAU
Molecule: ribosomal RNA, 464 nt
Filed under: uncultured rumen archaeon
Lineage: Archaea
Description: bacterial SSU rRNA
Rfam family: Archaeal small subunit ribosomal RNA
Source: RNAcentral